UUGAAAUGCAACUAAUUAUGUGCAUGAAGGACCGUAUAACAGGCAAAGCCAAACCAAACUUCGAAAAGGUCACAUGAACAUCAACCACAGAAACAGCCCUUCUCCUCAGGACACUGAACUGAGGUGUGAAAUAAAAUAAAGAAUAGAACAGGCUGAAGGAAGUGAGCAGCGCUUUAACUGUCUGUGGUCAGGGUGGCUCUUGCCUUGAAAUUAGGCAGCUUCACCCGCAGCCGCGCGCGCUCUGCACAAAAGCGCCAAGCAGGGGCACCUCACAGUACCCGCUUUGAGGCACCAGAGCCGUGAUACUUUCACAAAGAUAACUACUCCUGUCCGCUCCUUUUAUCUUCUGCGAAAGUAAGUGCAAUCUUUAUGUUGAUCUGGGGGUUAUAGGCUAGGCUACAGCAGCAAAAUGUUGCCAUUCACAUUGGAACAUGGUUCCCUCUUUUUUCUGGCUUUUAAGCUACUGUUAACAUAUUUUACACAGCUGUGAUGCUCAUGUAGCUCUUUAAUGUUUUUAUAUGCAUUAUUGUGUACCAAUAUGUCAAAUUACACAGUGAAGCUACAUUCUUGUAAAAUAAUCUAUGUUGUCUGUAAUUUGAUUUUAUAUUGUCAUUGUCCAACCAUGUUAAACCUGCGUGAGCUGCUGUCUGUCUUGGCCAGGACACUCUUGAAAAAGAGAUUUUGAAUCUCAACGAGACUCUCCUGGUUAAAGUAAAAUGUAAUAAUAUUUACAAAUAGAAACAAUUAUUCUUAAAGCUUUGCAUUUAUCACAGUCAGUCUGCCAUGCUCAGAAAUAUGAGCCUGUCAGCAGGGCCGUUUCAGACAGUUUGAAAACCGUUAAGAUCACACCUCCUCUACCAGCUGAUCCUAAUGGAGAUCAGUCUCUCUCACUGCUGAAAGGUGGCUAUGUGACCAGUGGGGCCGAUGCAGCCAUGCCCCAAACAUCCUCAACAGUAUUUUUGUAAGCCCUUCUCUCUGCCUCAGUCCUCAAGACCCCUGUCUGAAGAUAUUACAGUCUCAUAUUGUAUUAUAUUCUGUGCCGAUUAUAAUCUCCAAACUCAAGUCACUUUCAAAGGUAAGGUCCUAGAUGUUUUUAAAACAGUGUUUUAGUACUUAAUUUUACAUUGCCUUGUUGUAUUGAUCACAUA
Long non-coding RNA from Anguilla anguilla (European eel), 1148 nucleotides. RefSeq lists it as uncharacterized. Lineage: Eukaryota; Metazoa; Chordata; Actinopteri; Anguilliformes; Anguillidae. The record is from RefSeq and is a predicted model, not a curated record. The transcript has 4 exons.